GACGAACGCUGGCGGCGUGCUUAACACAUGCAAGUCGAACGAAAAUACCAAGCUUGCUUGGUUGAUUAGUGGCGAACGGGUGAGUAACACGUGAGUAACCUGCCCCUUACUUUCCUGGAUAACUGCUCGAAAGGGUAGCUAAUACGGGAUAUUCUGACCAGCAUGCAUGGGUUGGUUUGGAAAGGUUGUUUUUCUGGUAAGGGAUGGGCUCGCGGCCUAUCAGCUGGUUGGUGGGGUGAUGGCCUACCAAGGAUUUGACGGGUAGCCGGCCGGCGGGGGUGCACGGCCACACUGGAACCGAGAUACGGCCUAGACUCCUACGGGAGGGAGCAGUGGGGAAUAUGGCGCAAGGGGGGCAAGCCGGAUGCAGCGACGUCGGGGGAGGGAGGAAGGCCUUCGGGGUGUAAACCUCUUUCGUCAGGGAACAACGCACUGCUUUUUUGGUGGUGUUGAGGGUACCUGGAUAAGAAGCGCCGGCUAACUACGUG
Molecule: ribosomal RNA, 488 nt
Filed under: uncultured bacterium
Lineage: Bacteria
Description: partial 16S ribosomal RNA
Rfam family: Bacterial small subunit ribosomal RNA
Source: RNAcentral